GUGGUGGCUCAGGGUUAGAACACUUGCCUGGCAUAUGUGAGGCCCUGGGUUCAAACCUCAGCACCACA
Molecule: transfer RNA, 68 nt
Filed under: Marmota monax (woodchuck)
Lineage: Eukaryota; Metazoa; Chordata; Mammalia; Rodentia; Sciuridae
Description: tRNA.Ala
Source: RNAcentral